UUGCGUCGUCUUGUAGGCAAAGAUGCUGCCGGCCAGAUCCAUCUGGCUCAGCAGCCAGCCACCGAAGAUGUCGCCGUUCUGGUUGGUGUCAGCCGGCAUCGCAAGCGUGCGGAUGGAGAGUUCACCCUCUGGUGCGGUGGGCGCGGGCGCGGCGUGAACGGGCGUAUUUGCCAUCGAUGAAAUCCGUCAAAUAAAGCCGAACGAAAAUAUGUCUCAGGCGAACGUAUCCCACCCAGCAUCCGGUUUAAAGCGCUCGCCGAAUUUCGCUUCGAGCAUCU
This 278-nucleotide unclassified non-coding RNA is filed under the name Hevea brasiliensis (rubber tree). The record is from RNAcentral. Lineage: Eukaryota; Viridiplantae; Streptophyta; Magnoliopsida; Malpighiales; Euphorbiaceae.